Molecule: ribosomal RNA, 512 nt
Filed under: uncultured bacterium
Lineage: Bacteria
Description: partial 16S ribosomal RNA
Rfam family: Bacterial small subunit ribosomal RNA
Source: RNAcentral
GACGAACGCUGGCGGCGUGCCUAAUACAUGCAAGUCGAGCGGAACUGGGGGAGCUUGCUCCUUCCAGUUUAGCGGCGGACGGGUGAGUAACACGUGGGCAACCUGCCCUGCAGAUCGGGAUAACUCCGGGAAACCGGUGCUAAUACCGAAUAGUUUGGCGCCUCUCCUGAGGCGCUACGGAAAGACGGAUUCGGCUGUCACUUCAGGAUGGGCCCGCGGCGCAUUAACUAGUUGGUGGGGUAACGGCCCACCAAGGCGACGAUGCGUAGCCGACCUGAGAGGGUGACCGGCCACACUGGGACUGAGACACGGCCCAGACUCCUACGGGAGGCAGCAGUAGGGAAUCUUCCGCAAUGGACGCAAGUCUGACGGAGCAACGCCGCGUGAGUGACGAAGGUUUUCGGAUCGUAAAACUCUGUUGUGAGGGAAGAACACGUACCAACUAACUAUUGGUACCUUGACGGUACCUCACCAGAAAGCCACGGCUAACUACGUGCCAGCCGCCGCGGUAA